RNAcentral lists this ribosomal RNA (506 nucleotides) under uncultured bacterium. Its description in RNAcentral is "bacterial SSU rRNA". It matches the Rfam family "Bacterial small subunit ribosomal RNA", at positions 146 to 624 of the family's 1533-position model. The record is from RNAcentral.
GCUUGAUCUGCCUGGGGGACCUCCGGAUGCUAAUACCGCAUACGUCCUACGGGAGAAAGCAGGGGAUCUUCGGACCUUGCGCUAAAUGAUGAGCCUAAGUCGGAUUAGCUAGUUGGUGGGGUAAAGGCCUACCAAAGGCGACGAUCUGUAGCGGGUCUGAGAGGAUGAUCCGCACACUGGGACUGAGACACGNGCCCAGACUCCUACGGGANGCAGCAGUGGGGAAUAUUGGACAAUGGGCGGAAGCCUGAUCCANGCCAUGCCGCGUGUGUGAAGAAGGCCUUAUGGUUUGUAAAGCACUUUAAAGCGAGGAGNGAGGCUACCAAGUAUUAAAUACUAACUAGGAUAGUGGACGUUACUCGCAGAAUAAAGCACCGGCCUAACUCUAGUGCCAGGCAGCCCGCGGUACAUACAGAGGGUGCAACGCGUAAAUCGGAUUACUGGGGCGUACAGCGUGCGUAAGCGGCUUAUUAACAGNUCGGGAUAGUGGAAAUUCCCCCGAAGCC